RNAcentral lists this non-coding RNA (21 nucleotides) under Mus musculus (house mouse). Lineage: Eukaryota; Metazoa; Chordata; Mammalia; Rodentia; Muridae. RNAcentral also lists the same sequence under 1 other name. The record is from RNAcentral.
UAGUUUAUGCACUUCUUGUUU